UUACUUACCUGGAUGGGGUCGAUGGAUGAUCAUAAAGCUCCAUGGCCUAGGCAAGUGACCUCCAUUGCACUUAGGAGGGGUGCUUGCCUAAGGUCUACCCAAGUGGUGGAGCCUACAUCAUAAUUUGUUGUUGUGGGGGCCUGCGUUCGUGCGGCCCCUCC
This 161-nucleotide small nuclear RNA is filed under the name Trifolium pratense (red clover). Its description in RNAcentral is "snRNA U1". It matches the Rfam family "U1 spliceosomal RNA". From Rfam's summary of the family: U1 is a small nuclear RNA (snRNA) component of the spliceosome (involved in pre-mRNA splicing). Lineage: Eukaryota; Viridiplantae; Streptophyta; Magnoliopsida; Fabales; Fabaceae. The record is from RNAcentral.